RNAcentral lists this long non-coding RNA (900 nucleotides) under Equus caballus (horse). RNAcentral describes it as "lncRNA (ENSECAG00000060060.1)". The record is from RNAcentral. Lineage: Eukaryota; Metazoa; Chordata; Mammalia; Perissodactyla; Equidae.
CAGAUAGUAACACUGUGAUUUAGGGUGGCGGCUUUGAGCCACACCAACAGCAUGACUUAGUUGGGGGCUUUGGGUCAUACAGUAUCAGCUUGAACUUCUGAGGGGCUGGAAACUGACAUCAGCUACAUUCACAGUCAACCAUACCUAAGUGAUGGAGCCCCCAAUAAAGACUUAGGACAUCAAGGCUCAGGGAGAGGAUAACUAGAAGGUUCAUUUGGUACUUUUCCUGGACUCUGCCCUAAGCAUUUCAUCCCUUGGCUGAUUUUGAUCUGUAUCCUUUCCCUGCAAUAAACCACAACUGAGAGUGGUGAAAAUAUUGAUGAGAAGUGGUACCAUGAGGAAAAGUUGAAAAAAGAGAAGGCAGAUUUGGUUCACAGAAGUUGCUAUGGAGCAGGAGAAAAAAGAAAAAUGCUUUGCUCGUUUCUCUCUCUUCUCCCCAUCAAACACACGAGAAGACUGGUAUUGAAUGUGUUGGCAGCAUCUUUGUAGAGAAACGGAAAUCUUUCUGAGCCUCCCAGGCAACCCCUUAAGGAGGGCCGCUCCCGGCUGGGCAGCUGGGGGUCCGUCGAGCUCCGUGGAGCUUCCAGAAGGCGCGACACAAAGACCACCAGAUGUGGGUUGCUCGGUACGCAGGCGGCAGUGGGCGUUUACCCAGCUUUGGCCUUCGCACCGCUCCCCGCAAGGCUCCGGAGACAUCCGACAUCUGUGGCUGCCCAGCUUUAUCUGUCCUACAACAAAUCCACCUCCAGGAACUGCAAGGGCACGUUUCCCCUCUCAUCGGAAUGCACGUCCCAGCCUCCUGGAUUCAUGAAAGGCGUGCUCCGCCCAGAAGCGACCUGGAGUCUCCAACAACAAUCAAGGGGCUUGUCUGCCAAGCUCUCGGCCCAACUUUCAGCGUCC